GCAGUCGCACAAGCAUCCGACAUCUAUGGGUAUCCACAUGAAGCUCUUGUGCUAAUCGAUCUCUCCGGGAGUGCUAGCUCGUAAAGACACUAUGCAUUGGCUGAUCUAAGAGAAAACACAAAGAUAAAGAAUAAGGAAACUCUCUCCUUUUCUUUCUGGAUCGAUGCAUCUGAUCUCUACAAUAGAGAUUAAGAGAAGAACUU
Molecule: long non-coding RNA, 203 nt
Filed under: Elaeis guineensis (African oil palm)
Lineage: Eukaryota; Viridiplantae; Streptophyta; Magnoliopsida; Arecales; Arecaceae
Description: long non-coding RNA (EGUI_LNC061449)
Source: RNAcentral